Molecule: ribosomal RNA, 2327 nt
Filed under: Salmonella enterica subsp. salamae serovar 56:z10:e,n,x str. 1369-73
Lineage: Bacteria; Pseudomonadati; Pseudomonadota; Gammaproteobacteria; Enterobacterales; Enterobacteriaceae
Description: bacterial LSU rRNA
Rfam family: Bacterial large subunit ribosomal RNA
Source: RNAcentral
AACCCGGUGAUCUAGCCAUGGGCAGGUUGAAGGUUGGGUAACACUAACUGGAGGACCGAACCGACUAAUGUUGAAAAAUUAGCGGAUGACCUGUGGCUGGGGGUGAAAGGCCAAUCAAACCGGGAGAUAGCUGGUUCUCCCCGAAAGCUAUUUAGGUAGCGCCUCGUGAAUUCAUCUCCGGGGGUAGAGCACUGUUUCGGCUAGGGGGCCAUCCCGGCUUACCAACCCGAUGCAAACUGCGAAUACCGGAGAAUGUUAUCACGGGAGACACACGGCGGGUGCUAACGUCCGUCGUGAAGAGGGAAACAACCCAGACCGCCAGCUAAGGUCCCAAAGUCAUGGUUAAGUGGGAAACGAUGUGGGAAGGCCCAGACAGCCAGGAUGUUGGCUUAGAAGCAGCCAUCAUUUAAAGAAAGCGUAAUAGCUCACUGGUCGAGUCGGCCUGCGCGGAAGAUGUAACGGGGCUAAACCAUGCACCGAAGCUGCGGCAGCGAACGUAUCACUUAAAACGAUUCAGAAGCUUACGAUUGACGGAGCGAAGCGACGUCAAAGCGUAUACAAAGUCGAGUCGGUUUAAGGAUACGUUCGUUGGGUAGGGGAGCGUUCUGUAAGCCUGCGAAGGUGGCCUGUGAGGGUUGCUGGAGGUAUCAGAAGUGCGAAUGCUGACAUAAGUAACGAUAAAGCGGGUGAAAAGCCCGCUCGCCGGAAGACCAAGGGUUCCUGUCCAACGUUAAUCGGGGCAGGGUGAGUCGACCCCUAAGGCGAGGCCGAAAGGCGUAGUCGAUGGGAAACGGGUUAAUAUUCCCGUACUUGGUGUUACUGCGAAGGGGGGACGGAGAAGGCUAUGUUGGCCGGGCGACGGUUGUCCCGGUUUAAGCGUGUAGGCUGACUUUCCAGGCAAAUCCGGAGAGUCAAGGCUGAGGCGUGACGACGAGGCACCACGGUGCUGAAGCAACAAAUGCCCUGCUUCCAGGAAAAGCCUCUAAGCAUCAGGUAACAUCAAAUCGUACCCCAAACCGACACAGGUGGUCAGGUAGAGAAUACCAAGGCGCUUGAGAGAACUCGGGUGAAGGAACUAGGCAAAAUGGUGCCGUAACUUCGGGAGAAGGCACGCUGACACGUAGGUGAAGUGAUUUACUCAUGGAGCUGAAGUCAGUCGAAGAUACCAGCUGGCUGCAACUGUUUAUUAAAAACACAGCACUGUGCAAACACGAAAGUGGACGUAUACGGUGUGACGCCUGCCCGGUGCCGGAAGGUUAAUUGAUGGGGUCAGCGCAAGCGAAGCUCCUGAUCGAAGCCCCGGUAAACGGCGGCCGUAACUAUAACGGUCCUAAGGUAGCGAAAUUCCUUGUCGGGUAAGUUCCGACCUGCACGAAUGGCGUAAUGAUGGCCAGGCUGUCUCCACCCGAGACUCAGUGAAAUUGAACUCGCUGUGAAGAUGCAGUGUACCCGCGGCAAGACGGAAAGACCCCGUGAACCUUUACUAUAGCUUGACACUGAACAUUGAGCCUUGAUGUGUAGGAUAGGUGGGAGGCUUUGAAGCGUGGACGCCAGUCUGCGUGGAGCCGGCCUUGAAAUACCACCCUUUAAUGUUUGAUGUUCUAACGUGGACCCGUGAUCCGGGUUGCGGACAGUGUCUGGUGGGUAGUUUGACUGGGGCGGUCUCCUCCUAAAGAGUAACGGAGGAGCACGAAGGUUGGCUAAUCCUGGUCGGACAUCAGGAGGUUAGUGCAAUGGCAUAAGCCAGCUUGACUGCGAGCGUGACGGCGCGAGCAGGUGCGAAAGCAGGUCAUAGUGAUCCGGUGGUUCUGAAUGGAAGGGCCAUCGCUCAACGGAUAAAAGGUACUCCGGGGAUAACAGGCUGAUACCGCCCAAGAGUUCAUAUCGACGGCGGUGUUUGGCACCUCGAUGUCGGCUCAUCACAUCCUGGGGCUGAAGUAGGUCCCAAGGGUAUGGCUGUUCGCCAUUUAAAGUGGUACGCGAGCUGGGUUUAGAACGUCGUGAGACAGUUCGGUCCCUAUCUGCCGUGGGCGCUGGAGAACUGAGGGGGGCUGCUCCUAGUACGAGAGGACCGGAGUGGACGCAUCACUGGUGUUCGGGUUGUCAUGCCAAUGGCACUGCCCGGUAGCUAAAUGCGGAAGAGAUAAGUGCUGAAAGCAUCUAAGCACGAAACUUGCCCCGAGAUGAGUUCUCCCUGAGACUUUGAGUCUCCUGAAGGAACGUUGAAGACGACGACGUUGAUAGGCCGGGUGUGUAAGCGCAGCGAUGCGUUGAGCUAACCGGUACUAAUGAACCGUGAGGCUUAACCUUACAACGCCGAAGCUGUU